Molecule: ribosomal RNA, 254 nt
Filed under: uncultured bacterium
Lineage: Bacteria
Description: partial 16S ribosomal RNA
Rfam family: Bacterial small subunit ribosomal RNA
Source: RNAcentral
UACGUAGGGUGCGAGCGUUGUCCGGAAUUAUUGGGCGUAAAGAGCUCGUAGGCGGUGUGUCGCGUCGGCCGUGAAAACCUGGGGCUCAACUCUGGGCGUGCGGUCGAUACGGGCAUCACUAGAGUUCGGCAGGGGAGACUGGAAUUCCUGGUGUAGCGGUGAAAUGCGCAGAUAUCAGGAGGAACACCUGUGGCGAAGGCGGUUCUCUGGGCAUUACCUGACGCUGAGGAGCGAAAGCGUGGGGAGCAAACAGG